Molecule: long non-coding RNA, 379 nt
Organism: Adelges cooleyi (spruce gall adelgid)
Lineage: Eukaryota; Metazoa; Arthropoda; Insecta; Hemiptera; Adelgidae
Exons: 3
Source: RefSeq, a predicted model, not a curated record
CCAAGUAAAAACAAUUAUGGGUAUUGGCCAACUCCAAAAGACAAGCCGUGUAAUAACGGAGGGAUAUAUGUAAAUAAGAAAUGCGUCUGUCCACCAGGGUUUAAAGGAGAUAACUGUGCAUUUGCAUGUGGACCAAAUCUAUUCGGUUUUGACUGCACCGGCGUUUGUUCAAUGGAGGAUGAAUAUUGCAAAGGAACAAUGAUUUGUACAAACAUUUUCUCAUGCCAGUGCACUACUGGAUACACUGGCGAGUUCUGUGAAGAUGAAUGUCCUCGGGGAUAUUAUGGAUUCGGUUGUAACCAAAAGUGUUCAGAAAAUUGUCUUUCUGAUGAAUGUAAUAUAUUCUCCGGCGCAUGUACUGAAGGAUGCAAGAAUGGUU